Long non-coding RNA from Mytilus californianus (California mussel), 873 nucleotides. RefSeq lists it as uncharacterized. The record is from RefSeq and is a predicted model, not a curated record. The transcript is spliced from 2 exons. NCBI's taxonomy places the organism in Eukaryota, Metazoa, Mollusca, Bivalvia, Mytilida, Mytilidae.
GAUAGAGAUGGCACUGUGGAAAACUUUCAUUGGGUUCGCAAUAAAUACCUGGUCAAGAUAGAGAUGGCACUGUGGAAAACUUUCAUUGGGACUUACGACGAAUAAAUGACUCUUUUGAUUUCAAAAAUGGACACUUAGAAUUAUCCUCCGAUAAACGUAACAGCAGUCUUGUAACAUUCCUCAAAGAACAUUUUUACACUGAUGAAGCUUUAUGUAAAUCUUUAGGAGCAGAGUUUGAUGAAGAGGUAGCUGGAAUAUUCUCAGAAGUUUUUCGUGAAAAUCUGUCUGUUUUACUGAUAUCAGAUUCAACCGGAGAAAUAAUAGCCUGUAGGUCAAUGUGUUUAGCCAAGAAAGGCGAAAAGGCAGAUUGGUCAAAAUCCAAAAAUAGAAAAUGGGUUACAAUAAUGGACUUUUUGGGGCAUAGAUAUGAUGCAAUGGACGUAUUUAAACGAUAUAACGCAGACAUAGCAGUGUCCUUUUUUGCUCUGGCAACCCAUAGAGAUCACCGAGCACAGGGAAUAGCUUCUAAAUUAAUGAAAGCCACUCUACUAUUUUGUAAAGAACUAGGGUUAAGUCCAGUUUUCAUAAAAGGUGAAGGCACUUCAAUUUAUUCCCAGAAAAUUUAUGAAAAAUUUGGAUUUGAGACCAUUCACACCUUACCAUACGAUGAAUACAAAAUUGACGGAGAAAUCGUGUUUAAAAAUACGGGUGAAAACAAGUCAACUAAAUGUUAUGUAAAGCAACUUUGAUGUUGUUAAGUUGGACCAUUUUUUAGUAUUCUGACGAAACCGUUAAUUUUUAGACGUACAUUGAUAUUUAUAAUUUUGAAGAGACAAUUUGCAUAUCCUAGAAUUAAAUAUAUAUAUAUAUAUA